Lontra canadensis (Northern American river otter) is the source of this 284-nucleotide long non-coding RNA. RefSeq lists it as uncharacterized. The record is from RefSeq and is a predicted model, not a curated record. The transcript is spliced from 3 exons. NCBI's taxonomy places the organism in Eukaryota, Metazoa, Chordata, Mammalia, Carnivora, Mustelidae.
AAAGUAUCCACCCAACCACGGCAAGAAAAAAGGACAGUGCUCUCUGGGUCCAAGAUGGCGCAGAUGAAGGCCUGCCCAGCCAUCAGCAAACUCCAGGCAGAGAGAGAAAGGAAGAAAUCACAGGCCUGAGCCGGCUGAGCUGGUCGAGACAAGAGAAAACAGGAGUUUACUAUCCGCUUCCUGAGGAAGACCCAUCCAGUGAGACAGCCUAAUCACAAGAGAAGAAAAUACACGGGAAGUGACAAGCCUGGAGAAUUCAGAAUCCCAAGCCCUCCUUGGCAGCA